This 253-nucleotide ribosomal RNA is filed under the name uncultured bacterium. RNAcentral describes it as "partial 16S ribosomal RNA". It matches the Rfam family "Bacterial small subunit ribosomal RNA", at positions 524 to 776 of the family's 1533-position model. The record is from RNAcentral.
UACGUAGGGUGCAAGCGUUGUCCGGAAUUAUUGGGCGUAAAGAGCUCGUAGGCGGUUUGUCGCGUCUGCUGUGAAAACCCGAGGCUCAACCUCGGGCCUGCAGUGGGUACGGGCAGACUAGAGUGCGGUAGGGGAGAUUGGAAUUCCUGGUGUAGCGGUGGAAUGCGCAGAUAUCAGGAGGAACACCGAUGGCGAAGGCAGACCCCUGGGCCGUCACUGACGCUGAGGAGCGAAAGCGUGGGGAGCGAACAGG